Molecule: ribosomal RNA, 376 nt
Filed under: uncultured bacterium
Lineage: Bacteria
Description: bacterial SSU rRNA
Rfam family: Bacterial small subunit ribosomal RNA
Source: RNAcentral
AUACGUAGGUGGCGAGCGUUGUCCGGAAUUACUGGGUGUAAAGGGUGCGCAGGCGGGCCUGCAAGUUGGGUGUGAAGAACCGUGGCUCAACCACGGGGGGACAUUCAAAACUGCGGGUCUUGAGUGAGGUAGAGGCAGGCGGAAUUCCCGGUGUAGCGGUGAAAUGCAUAGAGAUCGGGAGGAACACCAGUGGCGAAGGCGGCCUGCUGGGCCUUAACUGACGCUGAGGCACGAAAGCAUGGGUAGCAAACAGGAUUAGAUACCCUGGUAGUCCAUGCCGUAAACGAUGAUUGCUAGGUGUGGGGGGACUGACCCCUUCCGUGCCGGAGUCAACACAAUAAGCAAUCCACCUGGGGAGUACGGCCGCAAGGUUGAA